GACGAACGCUGGCGGCGUGCUUAACACAUGCAAGUCGAACGGAAAGGCCCUGCUUUUGUGGGGUGCUCGAGUGGCGAACGGGUGAGUAACACGUGAGUAACCUGCCCUUGACUUUGGGAUAACUUCAGGAAACUGGGGCUAAUACCGGAUAGGAGCUCCUGCUGCAUGGUGGGGGUUGGAAAGUUUCGGCGGGUGGGGAUGGACUCGCGGCUUAUCAGCUUGUUGGUGGGGUAGUGGCUUACCAAGGCUUUGACGGGUAGCCGGCCUGAGAGGGUGACCGGCCACAUGGGGACUGAGAUACGGCCCAGACUCCUACGGGAGGCAGCAGUGGGGAAUAUUGCACAAUGGGCGGAAGCCUGAUGCAGCAACGCCGCGUGCGGGAUGACGGCCUUCGGGUUGUAAACCGCUUUCGCCUGUGACGAAGCGUGAGUGACGGUAAUGGGUAAAGAAGCACCGGCUAACUACGUG
RNAcentral lists this ribosomal RNA (468 nucleotides) under uncultured bacterium. Its description in RNAcentral is "partial 16S ribosomal RNA". It matches the Rfam family "Bacterial small subunit ribosomal RNA", at positions 28 to 507 of the family's 1533-position model. The record is from RNAcentral.